GAUGAACGCUGGCGGCGUGCCUAAUACAUGCCAGUCGAGCGAACGGACGAGAAGCUUGCUUUUCUGAUGUUAGCGGCGGACGGGUGAGUAACACGUGGAUAACCUACCUAUAAGACUGGGAUAACUUCGGGAAACCGGAGCUAAUACCGGAUAAUAUUUUGAACCGCAUGGUUCAAAAGUGAAGGACGGUCUUGCUGUCACUUAUAGAUGGAUCCGCGCUGCAUUAGCUAGUUGGUAAGGUAACGGCUUACCAAGGCAACGAUGCAUAGCCGACCUGAGAGGGUGAUCGGCCACACUGGAACUGAGACACGGUCCAGACUCCUACGGGAGGCAGCAGUAGGGAAUCUUCCGCAAUGGGCGAAAGCCUGACGGAGCAACGCCGCGUGAGUGAUGAAGGUCUUCGGAUCGUAAAACUCUGUUAUUAGGGAAGAACAUAUGUGUAAGUAACUGUGCACAUCUUGACGGUACCUAAUCAGAAAGCCACGGCUAACUACGUG
Molecule: ribosomal RNA, 497 nt
Filed under: uncultured bacterium
Lineage: Bacteria
Description: partial 16S ribosomal RNA
Rfam family: Bacterial small subunit ribosomal RNA
Source: RNAcentral